GUGCCAGCCGCUGCGGUAAUACGUAGGUGGCAAGCGUUGUCCGGAUUUACUGGGUGUAAAGGGCGUGCAGCCGGGAAGGCAAGUCAGAUGUGAAAUCCGUGGGCUUAACCCACGAACUGCAUUUGAAACUGCUUUUCUUGAGUAUCGGAGAGGUAAUCGGAAUUCCUAGUGUAGCGGUGAAAUGCGUAGAUAUUAGGAAGAACACCAGUGGCGAAGGCGGAUUACUGGACGACAACUGACGGUGAGGCGCGAAAGCGUGGGAGCAAACAGGAUUAGAUACCCUGGUAGUCCACGCUGUAACGAUCGAUACUAGGUGUGCGGGACUGACCCCCUGCGUGCCGCAGUUAACACACUAAGUAUCGCACCUGGGAGUACGAUCGCAAGGUUGAAACUCAAAGGAUU
This 402-nucleotide ribosomal RNA is filed under the name uncultured Oscillibacter sp. Its description in RNAcentral is "bacterial SSU rRNA". It matches the Rfam family "Bacterial small subunit ribosomal RNA", at positions 505 to 910 of the family's 1533-position model. The record is from RNAcentral. Lineage: Bacteria; Bacillati; Bacillota; Clostridia; Eubacteriales; Oscillospiraceae.